CUUGUACACACCGCCCGUCACACCAUGGGAGUGGGUUCACAGAAGUAGUUAGUCUAACCGCAAGGGGACGAUUACCACGGUGAGAUUCAUGACUGGGGUG
Molecule: ribosomal RNA, 100 nt
Filed under: uncultured bacterium
Lineage: Bacteria
Description: partial 16S ribosomal RNA
Source: RNAcentral